UAGGGAAUAUUAGAAAUGGACGAAAGUCUGAUCUAGCAACACCGCGUGUGCGAAGAAGGCCUUUGGGUCGUAAAGCACUAUUUGGAAGGAAUAGGAAGGAAUGUACUUCCAGAAUAAGUCUCGGCUAACUACGUGCCAGCAGCCGCGGUAACACGUAGGAGGCAAACGUUAUCCGGAUUUACUGGGCGUAUAGCGCGUGUAGGUGGUACUGUAAGUAGGGCGUGAAAGCUCCUGGCUCAACUGGGAGAGGCCGUUCUAAACUACAGAACUAGAGGAUGGUAGAGGGAGGUGGAAUUCCAGGUGUAGCGGUGGAAUGCGCAGAUAUCUGGAGGAACACCGGUGGCGAAGGCGGCCUCCUGGACCAUUCCUGACACUCAGACGCGAAAGCUAGGGUAGCAAACGG
RNAcentral lists this ribosomal RNA (403 nucleotides) under uncultured bacterium. Its description in RNAcentral is "bacterial SSU rRNA". It matches the Rfam family "Bacterial small subunit ribosomal RNA", at positions 355 to 775 of the family's 1533-position model. The record is from RNAcentral.